Molecule: non-coding RNA, 2769 nt
Organism: Heterocephalus glaber (naked mole-rat)
Lineage: Eukaryota; Metazoa; Chordata; Mammalia; Rodentia; Bathyergidae
Source: RefSeq, a predicted model, not a curated record
CUGGGACUUGUAGUAAGCUGUAGAUUUCUCUUAGCACGCGGGAGGGAGACCGGGGAACCUACGCACGCUUUGUUGCCCAAACUGCACCUCCCGCCCCAAACUCUGGUGUUAACCAGACCUUCUCUUGGAAGGAAAAUCCUUGAGUUAAGCCGGUCCAGGGUUGGAACAGGAGAUUUGGAGAAACUCGGCUGAAGUCUUUUUCCACUUUUAAGCCCUACCAUGGCCGUUCCCGAGACCCGCCCCAACCACACUAUUUAUAUCAACAACCUCAAUGAGAAGAUCAAGAAAGAUGAGCUGAAGAAGUCCCUGUAUGCCAUCUUCUCCCAGUUUGGCCAGAUCUUGGAUAUCCUGGUAUCACGGAGCCUGAAGAUGAGGGGCCAGGCCUUUGUCAUCUUUAAGGAGGUCAGCAGCGCCACCAACGCCCUGCGCUCCAUGCAAGGUUUCCCCUUCUACGACAAGCCCAUGCGCAUCCAGUAUGCCAAGACCGACUCAGAUAUUAUUGCCAAGAUGAAGGGUACUUUUGUGGAGCGGGACCGCAAGCGGGAGAAGAGGAAGCCCAAGAGCCAAGAGACGCCAUCUGCCAAGAAGGCUGUGCAGGGUGGGGCGGCUGCCCCUGUGGUGGGAGCUGUCCAGGGCCCUGUCCCGGGCAUGCCACCAAUGACUCAGGCACCCCGCAUCAUGCACCACAUGCCGGGCCAGCCGCCUUACAUGCCGCCUCCUGGCAUGAUCCCGCCUCCAGGCCUUGCACCAGGCCAGAUGCCCCCUGGGGCGAUGCCCCCGCAGCAGCUUAUGCCAGGGCAGAUGCCGCCUGCCCAGCCUCUGUCAGAGAAUCCACCGAAUCACAUCCUGUUCCUCACCAACCUGCCGGAGGAGACCAAUGAGCUCAUGUUGUCUAUGCUUUUCAACCAAUUCCCUGGCUUCAAGGAGGUCCGCCUGGUGCCUGGUCGGCAUGAUAUCGCCUUCGUGGAGUUUGACAACGAGGUGCAGGCAGGAGCAGCUCGUGAUGCCCUGCAGGGCUUUAAGAUCACUCAGAACAACGCCAUGAAGAUCUCCUUUGCCAAGAAGUAGCGCCUUGUCCCCAGGUCUACCCCUGCCUUUGUUCUGGGGCCUCCCCUCCCCUCUUUGGCUCAGUCCCUUAAGACCAUGGGUAACGAAUCACAAAGUGAAACCAUGGAUGGGAGGUACUGUACAGCAAAAAUGACAUGUCUCCAAUGACAGUAUUACAAAGACUGGCUUAUUUCUUGCUUUGGUGGAGCCAGCUCCCUGUUGCUGUUUAUGAAGAUACAUGGGGCAAGAAGCUGAGAGAAGCCUCCAGCCCACAGGCAGUGAGCCUUCAGAUGAGACUGCAACCCUGGAUGACAAGUUGAUCGGAGCCAGGUAGGAGACCCUGAGCCAAAGGCACUCAGCUGGAUCCAGGUUUCCACACAAAUGCUGAUAAUUUGGUUUUAAGCUCCUACAUUUUGGAAUAAUUUUAUAGAGAUGGGCUGACCUCCAACUGAUGGAGAUCUUCCUACCUCAGCUUCCUGAGUGCCGGGGUUACAAGUAUGCACCAUUGGACCUGGCCCUUCAAUUUAUUUAAUAGCUGCUUCUAAGGUGAUGAAGAGUAUCCAUGUGAAUUAAUAGAAUAAAGAUCUUAGUGAAUGCACUGUAACUAUGUGCCUUCAUUAUUGCCCUCAUUUUGCACAUGAGGAAGGUGAAGCUAUGAGAGGAGGGAGGCAUAGUUUACUGCACGUCAUCCCUCAGGAAGUGGCCCGGGGCGGGGUGGUGGUGGUGGUGAAUAGUGAGCUGGGACAUUCCCUAUCCUAAGGCCUAACAUGUAAUAUUCACCAGUACCUGAGAGCUGGGGCAGUUUUGGUAAUCAAAAGGCUGCCUUGUUCUGUCCCUCAGCACAGGAAAUUCCAGGGUGGUUUUCCAUACCAGCUCCUCUGGUUCUGUCCCAGGAGGGGAGAAUGGAGUCCUCUUAAUACCUAAGCUGACUCCAGAGAAGAUGGAAUCACAUAUCUCAAACUGUCUGUCCUGGGCUCUGAUUGUUGAGUGGGUAGCUGUCCCUUGGAGCGGCUUGGGUUGCCCUGGGUCUAUCUGUGUAUUUUCUUGGACAGAUGGACCUCACCCUGUCCUUGAAAUGGUUCUGGCUGGAUAGCAGCCUCUAGAUGGUGUGGGCGAAAUUUGGGACUGGUGUUGGGUGGAGACAAGAGAACACAGGUUUCCUUGUGCCUCUGGAGAGAGGGAGCAGGAGGAAAUGAGACCCCAUUCCACACUUGGUCAUUCUUGCUCACAGUCCAUGAUGGUGUGGUCCCCAGUGCUCCUUGGUGCCAUUGUUUUGUUGUCUGCUCUCCCAGGCCCUAGUGGGGCAUGCUGCCUCAUGCCCAAGCUGGCUGACCGGAAGCUGUGUGCUGAUGCGGAAUGCAGUCGUAAGAGGGGAGCUGGGGGCUGGGGUUUGCUGGUUGGUGUGUGGGGUGCUGUCCUUCCCUUUUAUUACUUCUGCAGACCCCAUUUCAAUGGCUGUGGCCCUUCAAGACUAUGUGGCUCCGGACUGCCGUUUCCUGACCAUACAUAGGGGCCAAAUUGUGUUCAGGGAGAUUACUACGCAGACCUGCCGGCUCACCUAGGCUAUUUCCCCAGUAGCAUUGUUCGAGAAGGCCAGACUCUGAAACCUGGCAAAAUUGAUGUGAAGACAGAUAAAUGGGAUUUCUGCUGUCAGUGAGCUCAGCCUUCCACUCUUCUGCUGUUUCCCUCCAGGCCUUAUGCAAAUACACUGAGUGCAAACUG